This 497-nucleotide ribosomal RNA is filed under the name uncultured bacterium. RNAcentral describes it as "partial 16S ribosomal RNA". It matches the Rfam family "Bacterial small subunit ribosomal RNA", at positions 28 to 507 of the family's 1533-position model. The record is from RNAcentral.
GAUGAACGCUGGCGGCGUGCCUAAUACAUGCAAGUCGAGCGAACAGACGAGGAGCUUGCUCCUCUGACGUUAGCGGCGGACGGGUGAGUAACACGUGGAUAACCUACCUAUAAGACUGGGAUAACUUCGGGAAACCGUAGCUAAUACCGGAUAAUAUUUUGAACCGCAUGGUUCAAUAGUGAAAGACGGUUUUGCUGUCACUUAUAGAUUGAUCCGCGCCGCAUUAGCUAGUUGGUAAGGUAACGGCUUACCAAGGCAACGAUGCUUAGCCGACCUGAGAGGGUGAUCGGCCAAACUGGAACUGAGACACGGUCCAGACUCCUACGGGAGGCAGCAGUAGGGAAUAUUCCGCAAUGGGCGAAAGCCUGACGGAGCAACGCCGCGUGAGUGAUGAAGGUCUUCGGAUCGUAAAACUCUGUUAUUAGGGAAGAACAAAUGUGUAAGUAACUAUGCACGUCUUGACGGUACCUAAUCAGAAAGCCACGGCUAACUACGUG